GUGGUGAAUGAACUAGAAUGAAUUCUCACUGUAUUCUGACAGUCGAUUUUCAACGACGGAUGUCGCUGUGAGGUGACUUUCAAGUAACGACUACAGUCGUGAUGUUUUCAUCUGUCGAGUAGCAAUGGAGGUGAAAAAGAUACGAAUCACAAACAGGAAGCAAUUCCAGUUGCUGGUGACGAGAAUGGAGGAAAAUCCACAUGUUGCCAAAGGAUUGAAGUUCUGCGAAGGGAUGCAAAUCUCUAAGCAGAACUUUUCCGAAAUUUGGGGUGGCUUAACAAAAGGCCUGAACAGCUUGGAACAGCUGGAAUGGAACAAUUGUUGAAGGCAAAUGAUGAAUAUACAAAGCAUCUGCUUUGUUCUUUGGGUUUCUAAGAGUGCCUUCUUAGGCUUACUUUUGGAUGUCAAUAAUGUUUCAAAUUCUUUUUACGUCACGUGCCGUAAAAAGGAGGCUGUAAAACGAAAUUACUUUUUUCUACUCUGAUCUCAUAAAAGUAAGUGAGGUACAAGAUAUCCAAAGCAUCUUACAGGGAAUCGAUUAUGUGUUUACCGCUGCUUAGCGGAGAACUUAACGAUCGGCCGAGAGUGCUACAGCGGCCUUCUGGUAAUAUUCAACUGGAUCAACUCAAACUAUAAAACGUGGGCUACAUGACCUGGUUUUUCAACUGUAUCCAUGCCGCAAGGGGCAAGGCCCUGGCUCUGUGCGGCGUGUUCUAGAAGACAUGCUUUGCCUAUGCUGGCAUUAUCAUCAUCUUCACGCCUGAUAUCCCUCACAGAUAAGUGUGGCACUGAUGCAGAAAUUAUCUUAGUGAUCAUUAACCAAAAAAAAAAAACUCGAGAAACAACCUUUUCGCAGAGUACCGCAGAACUUCCAGGCUGGCCACUGCCCAG
Long non-coding RNA from Armigeres subalbatus, 891 nucleotides. RefSeq lists it as uncharacterized. Lineage: Eukaryota; Metazoa; Arthropoda; Insecta; Diptera; Culicidae. The transcript has 3 exons. The record is from RefSeq and is a predicted model, not a curated record.